CCAAGGAGUUCAGUAGGCACGCGAGUCGUUGACGUUGUGCAUUGAACAGUCGAAGGCGUAAUGAAAGUAAGAAAAAAGUGAACGGUGCUUUUCUUGGGUGCCGUUUGCUUUUCAACAUGAUCGUCCUUUGUUGUUUUGUUUGGGUGUGUUGCUUGAUUUUUGUAACUUGCGCCGCCCUUCUUAAUAAUAUUUUGGACGCGCAGUGUUGUGCCGUUGAACAGUCGCACUGUUUGUCCAUCUCUCACGGGUUGGAGAAACAAUUGUCGAUCAGUCGGUUUCGGAGCGUGCACACUGGUACCCGAAAGAUGGUGAACUAUGCUUGAGCAGAAUGAAGCCAGAGGAAACUCUGGUGGAAGUUCGUAGCGGUGUUGACGUGCAAAUCACUCGUCUGACUUGAGUG
Molecule: ribosomal RNA, 400 nt
Filed under: Trichinella pseudospiralis
Lineage: Eukaryota; Metazoa; Nematoda; Enoplea; Trichinellida; Trichinellidae
Description: partial large subunit ribosomal RNA
Rfam family: Eukaryotic large subunit ribosomal RNA
Source: RNAcentral